Molecule: ribosomal RNA, 1731 nt
Filed under: human gut metagenome
Description: bacterial LSU rRNA
Rfam family: Bacterial large subunit ribosomal RNA
Source: RNAcentral
CGGGAUUUUAUCUAUAUAGAAUCGGUAGGGGAGCUUCCCAUGGGCGGUGAAGCCGCCGGGCGACCGGCGGUGGAGCGCAUGGGAGUGAGAAUGCUGGCAUGAGUAGCGAGAGACGAGAGAGUAACUCGUCCGCCGUGAACCCGAGGUUUCCUGGGCAAGGCUAAUCCUCCCAGGGUCAGUCGGGGGCUAAGGCGAGGCCGGGAGGCGUAGCCGACGCGCAGCAGGCAGACAUUCCUGCACCGCGCACGCGGCGCUACGACCGACGGGGCGACGGAUGGGGGUGGCUCGGCGGGGUUCUGGACGUCCCCGUGAUGGAGCGCGGCCCGCGGACCAGGGAAAUCCGGUCCGCAGAAGGGCGAGGCUCCGGACGAAGCGACUGAGCGAAGCGAGUGAGCCCGAGGUCCCUAGAAAAACCCCUAGGCAGGCGCGUGCGCGCCCGUACCGCAAACCGACACAGGUGGGUGGGUAGAACAUACCGAGGCGAUCGGGUCAACCAUGGUCAAGGAACUCGGCACAAUGGCCCCGUAACUUCGGGAGAAGGGGUGCCCGCGCGUACGUGAACCGGCUUGCCCGGGGAGCGGAGGCGGGCCGCAGUGGAGAGGCCCAAGCGACUGUUUACCAAAAACACAGGACUCUGCAGAAGCCGCAAGGCGACGUAUAGGGUCUGACGCCUGCCCGGUGCCGGAAGGUCACGCGGAGGAGUUAGCCGCAAGGCGAAGCCCCGAAGCCAAGCCCCGGUAAACGGCGGCCGUAACUAUAACGGUCCUAAGGUAGCGAAAUUCCUUGUCGGGUAAGUUCCGACCUGCACGAAAGGCGCAACGACUUGGGCGCUGUCUCGACCAUGGACCCGGUGAAAUUGCACUGGUCGUGAAGAUGCGACUUACCCGCGGAAGGACGGAAAGACCCCGUGAACCUUCACUGCAGCUUGGCAUUGGCCGCUGGUCCCGCGUGUAGAGGAUAGGCAGGAGGCACAGAUCCGGAGGCGCCAGCCCCCGGGGAGCCGCCCUUGGAAUACUGCCCUCGCGCGACCGGCGUCCUAACCCGAGGCCGUCAACCGGCUCGGGGACCGUGCCAGGCGGGCAGUUUGACUGGGGCGGUCGCCUCCUAAAGGGUAACGGAGGCGCGCGAAGGUCCGCUCGGGACGGUCGGCAACCGUCCUUUUGAAUGCAAGAGUACAAGCGGGCUUGACUGCGAGGCCCACAAGCCGAGCAGGUGCGAAAGCAGGCUCUAGUGAUCCGGCGGCCCCGAGUGGGUGGGCCGUCGCUCAACGGAUAAAAGGUACUCCGGGGAUAACAGGCUGAUCUUGCCCAAGAGUCCACAUCGACGGCAAGGUUUGGCACCUCGAUGUCGGCUCAUCGCAUCCUGGGGCUGGAGCAGGUCCCAAGGGUACGGCUGUUCGCCGUUUAAAGCGGUACGCGAGCUGGGUUCAGAACGUCGUGAGACAGUUCGGUCCCUAUCCUCCGCAGGCGCAAGUGGAUUGAGGAGGUCUGCCCCUAGUACGAGAGGACCGGGGUGGACGGACCUCUGGUGCAGCGGUUGUCGACCAACGGCACGGCCGCCUAGCUACGUCCGGCACGGAUAACCGCUGAAGGCAUCUAAGCGGGAAGCCGUCUCCGAGAUGAGUCCACUCUCCGGUAAGGGCCCAGGUAGACCACCUGGUCGAUAGGCCGCAGGUGCAAGCGCGGCGACGCGCUCAGCCGAGCGGCACUAAUAGCCCGAGCUCUUCGCAUC